UGAGAGAGACCCAGGCCGCAGGGGAUAAGGCCAUGGCUAAACUGGGGGCGGGGGGCUCAGGCUUUGGCCAGAAGGGAGGAGACCCAAACAAAGGGGGUGAGGGAUAGGGGCCAGACUCAGGACAAAGGGUGCUAGGAACAGGGUAAAGGGGAACUAGAAACAAGGCAGGCGUGGAAUAGCCCCAUUACCCUAAAAGCCUCGCUAGAAACUCUGUGGUGAUCACAUUUCGCUGGACAGACACUGAGGCAACUUUACAAAGGAGGGGUCUCAGCUUGGAAGGUCACCUCUGUUGCCUUCCUCACAGGCUAGCUCUUGAGCCAGCUAUGGCUGUGAACCGCAGGACGAUGUGAUUUCAUAACAACAAAACCUCAAAUAUGUAAAGGCUGUUUAAUUAUCCCAGCACAAUCUUUUAACAAUAGACAUUUGUCUUGCAAUUUGAGCCCUGCGUUCUUAACACCUUUUGCUUUGAGACCGUUGGGGUCUGCCACUGUUUUAGUGAAGUUGCUUCUUCCAAAUUGCACUGCCAGAAGCACUGCACCUCGCGAUUGCUCGAAAUUACAUCAUCCACAAAGAGGUAAAGUGCCCAGAGGCUAGAGGAAGGACUAGUCCAGAUUCUUUUGUUGUCACGUAGGAGAAUGAAGCUGUGGUUGCAGUUUAAAAGUAAGAAGAAUGAAAAGUGUAAGAAUCAGGACUAGAACUCAGCAGGUCCUAGCUCCUACUGCUGUGAUUAGACCAUUAGACCUAGCACUAGGUUGCUAUUUAUUAAUUACUGUUGUUAUUGCUGGGCUCUGUACAGAGGUAGUGUAGGUUAAGUAUAAAAUUAAAGUUAGCUUAAGUUUGGUUAAGGAGAUAUAUAUGUGUGUUGUAAAGCCAAGAAAGGCCCUAGCUAGCAAGUAGAAGGACAGCCUUGAAAAUAAGAAGUGAUAAGGUCAGAAGGAAUAACGUAGGGAAGAUGGUUCAAAGAAUAACUAAUGAGAUAAGUGGAAGUUUCUAAAAAGAAGGCCCCUGACAAAUAGGGGGUAACUGCUUAAAAUGCGCCAACACAGCCCUUCCCCAACCCAUACUCCAGUGUUAAAGCCUACGUGAACCCAGAUGCAAUGGGUAAACUGUUGAAUAGCAAGAAGGCAGGGAGGAAAGGCCUUGGGAAGAAAAGAGAGAAAUUCUUAAAAGUUCACUUUUAAUAUCUGCCUGACCUCAUUGGAGCUGACCAAAAUGGGUCUAAGCAUCUCUGGGUUUAGCCAGCUUCCAGAUACCACUUCUGGCUUCUGAACUGAAUACAACAGCUGGACAUUGAGGACAGCCAUAGCAACUCUGCAGGAUGCUGAAAGGUUUGUGGCUAGAAUUAAACUGCACAACUGGGACCUGUUUAAUAUUAAAGAAAAACUGACAUAUGAAUAAGUUUAAAUACAAUGGGUAAAGUUUUAAAAAAACAGGUUGACUAUGACUGAAACUUAGGCUUCUAAGUGCCAAAGUCACUUUUGAAAAAGCUUAUCCAAGCACAGUUUACUUUGCCAUUCAAGCAAUUAAGGAAAGAAUAUAUCUGAGCUAUCCUCAGUUGUUUGUAUGGAGAUAUGAUGCAGUGCUGAUAUGCUUACUAAUGUCAAACAGAAUAAAACACCGAAGUGACAGGAGGUAAAGCUUACUGAGCAGCCCUUGCACAUUAAUCUUCUUUUCUCAUAAAAGGACAUUUUUAAAAGCUGCCAUACUAAUCCUGCCUUAAAAUGUUACAUAAAUGACUGAUCCUAAAGUGGAAAAUGAUGAGUUUAAAGUAGCAAUCUAGUUAAAACCCCUAUUUUCAAAGUGAAGCUGUUGCCUAUGUCUAACUGCACUACUUUUCUGGU
Molecule: non-coding RNA, 1841 nt
Organism: Chrysemys picta bellii (western painted turtle)
Lineage: Eukaryota; Metazoa; Chordata; Testudines; Emydidae
Source: RefSeq, a predicted model, not a curated record